RNAcentral lists this ribosomal RNA (515 nucleotides) under uncultured bacterium. RNAcentral's name for it is "partial 16S ribosomal RNA". It matches the Rfam family "Bacterial small subunit ribosomal RNA", at positions 28 to 523 of the family's 1533-position model. The record is from RNAcentral.
GAUGAACGCUGGCGGCGUGCCUAAUACAUGCAAGUCGAGCGAAUGGAUUAAGAGCUUGCUCUUAUGAAGUUAGCGGCGGACGGGUGAGUAACACGUGGGUAACCUGCCCAUAAGACUGGGAUAACUCCGGGAAACCGGGGCUAAUACCGGAUAACAUUUUGAACCGCAUGGUUCGAAAUUGAAAGGCGGCUUCGGCUGUCACUUAUGGAUGGACCCGCGUCGCAUUAGCUAGUUGGUGAGGUAACGGCUCACCAAGGCAACGAUGCGUAGCCGACAUGAGAGGGUGAUCGGCCACACUGGGACUGAGACACGGCCAAGACUCCUACGGGAGGCAGCAGUAGGGAAUCUUCCGCAAUGGACGAAAGUCUGACGGAGCAACGCCGCGUGAGUGAUGAAGGCUUUCGGGUCGUAAAACUCUGUUGUUAGGGAAGAACAAGUGCUAGUUGAAUAAGCUGGCACCUUGACGGUACCUAACCAGAAAGCCACGGCUAACUACGUGCCAGCCACCGCGGUAA